UUUACCAGAUCCACACAAAGGAGUUCAGCUCUACGCGGAGAAACAAGAGAAAAGUCCAAAAGACUAGAGAGCAAAAUGGGUAUCAGCCAGUUACUGAAUAAGCCUUCAGGUGGGGAUAAAGAAAUUAAUCCAGUAUAUCAAGUGGUCACUAUGCAGCCGGAAGUUCUUGUGAUGAACGCUCCACUGGAUAAACCACUGCCAGAUUACCUGGGUUACUCCAUCUUUACCACACUGUGCUGUUUUUUACCUGUUGGCCUUGCUGCUUUGGUUUACUCCAUCACAACUCGAAAUGCAAACCUGUUUGGACACCGACAAAUGGCAGAGAAAAACUCCAGAAUGGCACGCAAACUUAACCAUGUCAGUCUUGGUAUUGGCAUUGCAAUAUAUUUGUUGGUUAUCGGCUUGUAUAUUUUUGCUAGGAUCACACUUUCAGGAAGGCGUUUUAUGAUGUUUUAGCCGUAUACCUUUUGCUGGGAAAAAAUAAUAUGCUUUUAGCUUCAGGAAGUGUGCACACGUUAAUGGCCCAUAUUGACAAUAAGUUACUGUCAACUUCUGAGGACGAUGUGUGGGAGAAAGGGCUCGCCGUAUUGUUGUUGAUGAACUUUUGGAUAACUGUGAUAUUUUAUGUUUGAAAGAGAGUUUUUUUUAACUAAGCAAGACUUGGAAAAUUGUUAUUUUAAUAAGAAUCUUUAUAGAGCUGCUGAAUCCAGAACAGAUGCUUGAAUUGGGUUAAUUAAGUCUUCAUUUUUAUACAGAUGUUUUGAAGUUAAUAACGUUAAUGUUUUUAACAAUGAGAGCUUUGUUUGUCAAACUAAAUGUAUCAUAAGGUGAAAUGUUUGUUUCUCUAUAUUUAAUAUUGUUACUCUAUAUUAAUAAAUACAUAUUGUAUACAUUAACGAUUUGUAAAUGAUGAAUAGCAAAUUUAUUCUGCAUUAAUUCUAAUCAGAUAUGUACUUGCUGUCAUGUUUUUUGUAGAAAAGUACAAUUGACUUAGUGACUUGCAUCUUAAAGUGAAUUCUCUGCAAUGGCUUAAAAAACCUCUCCCUAUGUUUUGCGUUAUUCAUCGAACUUUUUUAUAACGUUUCUGGAAUAGCUUUAUGUAAACAUUGCUUUUCUAAACGUCCAGCAUUAAUAAAAGUUAUUAUUAUUACA
Paramisgurnus dabryanus is the source of this 1152-nucleotide long non-coding RNA. RefSeq lists it as uncharacterized. NCBI's taxonomy places the organism in Eukaryota, Metazoa, Chordata, Actinopteri, Cypriniformes, Cobitidae. The record is from RefSeq and is a predicted model, not a curated record.